CUAUCCUAAACAUAAAAGAUCACAUUUCUGUUCAAAUUGAGGGUUCUGAUAUUUCUGGGUUCUAAUCUCAAUCAGGCCCAGUUAAAGGCCCAAGAGGAGGAACGUCAGAAAAGGGAGGCAGAAGAAAAGGAGGCACAGCUUGAAAGAAAACGAGAAGAGAAGAGACUGAAGAAAAUGAAAGAACUUGAGAAGCAGAAGAGAAUUAAGAGGAACCAGCAGCUGGAAGCAAUAGCCAAAGAACAUUAUGAAAGGGUCUUGCUAAGGAAAAAAGGUCUAGAGCCUUGGAAGAGAUUGAGAAUGCAAAGCAAACAAAACAUCCAGGUGGCAGAAGAACAUUACUCUUUGUUCCUGCAGAGGAAAUACAUGCUGACGUGGUUCCAGCGUAGUCAGGAAAGUCUGGCUAGAAAGAUGGCCCAGGCUGAUCAAUUUUAUUCCCAAAUACUGCUUAAGAGAGUCAUCCAGAGCUGGCUACAGGUAAGGACAUAGGGAAGGGUACCUUAAAUACAUCUCAUUGCUCAAUUCUAUUUAAGAAAACUAAAUGAAAUCCAGAAUGUCCAGGGUCAUUAUGUUUUUUCAAGAACAAAAGAGUAGUCAAUCCCAUUCACUGCUUUGAAAUAAAUGUGAAAAUGGUAAAUCAGUGUUUUAUUAGUGUAAAAUCCUAAGCCUGUGUUUGUUUCACGGAGUGUGUAUAAACUGUAAGUUAUCAUUCCAUCAGCUUUUGUUUUUAUAGUCAUUUCUUGUUUCUUGUCUCACAGUGCUCAAGUGAUUUAGAAACUUACCCCUUCAAUCUUAUAACUGUUUCUAUUCAUGUGUUCUCUUACCAUUUUUAGGAUACAU
Molecule: long non-coding RNA, 837 nt
Filed under: Homo sapiens (human)
Lineage: Eukaryota; Metazoa; Chordata; Mammalia; Primates; Hominidae
Description: non-protein coding lnc-DRD3-2:1
Source: RNAcentral